This 455-nucleotide ribosomal RNA is filed under the name Streptococcus sanguinis. RNAcentral describes it as "bacterial SSU rRNA". It matches the Rfam family "Bacterial small subunit ribosomal RNA", at positions 28 to 467 of the family's 1533-position model. Lineage: Bacteria; Bacillati; Bacillota; Bacilli; Lactobacillales; Streptococcaceae. The record is from RNAcentral.
GACGAACGCUGGCGGCGUGCCUAAUACAUGCAAGUAGAACGCUGAAGAGAGGAGCUUGCUCUUCUUGGAUGAGUUGCGAACGGGUGAGUAACGCGUAGGUAACCUGCCUGGUAGCGGGGGAUAACUAUUGGAAACGAUAGCUAAUACCGCAUAAAAUUGAUUAUUGCAUGAUAAUUAAUUGAAAGAUGCAAUUGCAUCACUACCAGAUGGACCUGCGUUGUAUUAGCUAGUUGGUGAGGUAACGGCUCACCAAGGCGACGAUACAUAGCCGACCUGAGAGGGUGAUCGGCCACACUGGGACUGAGACACGGCCCAGACUCCUACGGGAGGCAGCAGUAGGGAAUCUUCGGCAAUGGGGGGAACCCUGACCGAGCAACGCCGCGUGAGUGAAGAAGGUUUUCGGAUCGUAAAGCUCUGUGUAAGAGAAGAACGGGUGUGAGAGUGAAAAGUUUCAC